CCUUACGGCCGCGGCGGGCCCUUUGGCCUCCCGCCCUCCUUUGAAUUUUGGCGGCGGAGGCCUUGUGGCGGCGGCUGCUGCGCGCCGCGGGGAGCCUUCCGGCCGCGGCGGGCCCUUUGGUGCGCCGGCCUAGCGGGGGCAGCGGCGGCAGCGGGACGCGAGGGGCCUUGGGGCCGCGGCGAGGCUCGGAAGGCCUUCCGGCCACGGCGAGGCCUUUGAUGGGCCGGCCUCGCGGCUGCGACGAGGCACAUGGGGACUUCCAGCGGCGGCGAGGCACGGGAGGACUUUCAGCCGCGGUGAGGCCUCUGAUGGGCCGGCCUUGCGGCUGCGACGAGACGCCAUGAAAGGUGACUGGAGACAUAAGGACCCUGCUGUGACCCUGCUUCCAAAAAAGUAGGACCCUGGACAACUACACCCCUGGAUGACAAGGGAAUCAAAGGUGUGAUAAAAGAAGAUAAGGAGAUUGCAGGGAAGCUGAAUGAAUCCUUUGCAUAUGUCUUCACAGCAGAAGAUAUAGGACAAAUCCCUGUGCCUGAACUAUUUUUUGCAGAAAGGGAGUCACCAGAUCUGGAUGGCAUCCACCCGAGACUUCUCAAAGAACUCAAAUGUGAAAUUCCUGAUCUUCUGACAAAAAUAUGUAACUUGUAUUUAAGAUCUGCCUCCAUACCUGUGGGUGUAGCAGUGAACACACUGGAGGGAUCCUGGAAAUUACAGGAGUGUCUGCUCCAAGUCCAGUGGAAAGAUGAAGAACCGCAAGAAGGGGAAGCAGCAGCCUUGAAUUUGACCACCAGCAGCUAGCAGUGCCUGGACAGCAAUCACACAGGUCACCUGGUCAGUCUUCCUC
This is a long non-coding RNA of Rhineura floridana, 844 nucleotides long. RefSeq lists it as uncharacterized. The transcript has 3 exons. NCBI's taxonomy places the organism in Eukaryota, Metazoa, Chordata, Lepidosauria, Squamata, Rhineuridae. The record is from RefSeq and is a predicted model, not a curated record.